AUUGAACGCUGGCGGCAUGCCUUACACAUGCAAGUCGAACGGUAACGGGCCUUCGGGUGCCGACGAGUGGCGAACGGGUGAGUAAUGUAUCGGAACGUACCUUUCAGUGGGGGAUAACGUAGCGAAAGUUACGCUAAUACCGCAUAUUCUGUGAGCAGGAAAGCAGGGGAUCGCAAGACCUUGCGCUGAUUGAGCGGCCGAUAUCAGAUUAGCUAGUUGGUGAGGUAAAGGCUCACCAAGGCGACGAUCUGUAGCGGGUCUGAGAGGAUGAUCCGCCACACUGGAACUGAGACACGGUCCAGACUCCUACGGGAGGCAGCAGUGGGGAAUUUUGGACAAUGGGGGCAACCCUGAUCCAGCCAUGCCGCGUGCAGGAAGAAGGCCUUCGGUUGUAACUGCUUAGUCUAGGAAAAGGGUAGACGAGGUUAAUACCUACGUGCUUUGUAUGGUACUGGAAGAAUAAGCACCGGCUAACUACGUGCCAGCAGCCGAC
Molecule: ribosomal RNA, 493 nt
Filed under: uncultured bacterium
Lineage: Bacteria
Description: bacterial SSU rRNA
Rfam family: Bacterial small subunit ribosomal RNA
Source: RNAcentral